GAAAAGUUUAGGUGGUCUCAGGUGAAGUACACGCGCGUGGGCUUCAGUUACUGUGGAAGGGCCCGUACCAGAUCAUAUCAGUUAGUAAUAUAAACAAACUAAUUGAUCCGUUACAGAGUUGAGAGUCGUCUUCUUUCUUGUUGAUCAUCUUCUUCUUCUUUCUCCUGUAAAAUUAAUCUGUAACAGAGAGAAAGAGAGAUACAAGAGAGAUAGAAGGUCCUGUAGUCACAUCAUCGAAGGGAUUGCUGAAGACCGUACGUGUG
Arabidopsis thaliana (thale cress) is the source of this 263-nucleotide long non-coding RNA. RefSeq annotates it as other RNA. The record is from RefSeq. The transcript has a single exon. Lineage: Eukaryota; Viridiplantae; Streptophyta; Magnoliopsida; Brassicales; Brassicaceae.